GACGAACGCUGGCGGCGUGCUUAACACAUGCAAGUCGAACGGUGAAGCGCUUGCCUUUUUGGUGGGUGUGGAUGAGUGGCGAACGGGUGAGUAACACGUGAGUAACCUGCCCUCUUCUUCUGGAUAACCUCAUGAAAGUGGGGCUAAUACGGGGUAUUCCGGGUCUGUCGCAUGGCGGGUUUGGGAAAGAUUGCGCCUUUGGGUGUUUUCGGUGGGGGAUGGGCUCGCGGCCUAUCAGCUUGUUGGUGGGGUGAUGGCCUACCAAGGCGGUGACGGGUAGCCGGCCUGAGAGGGUGGACGGCCAAACUGGGACUGAGACACGGCCCAGACUCCUGCGGGAGGCAGCAGUGGGGAAUAUGGCACAAUGGGCGCAAGCCUGAUGCAGCGACGCCGCGUGAGGGAUGGAGGCCUUCGGGUUGUGAACCUCUUUCGCCAGUGAAGCAGGCCUGCUCCUGUGUGGGUGGGUUGACGGUAGCUGGAGAAGAAGCGCCGGCUAACUACGUG
RNAcentral lists this ribosomal RNA (504 nucleotides) under uncultured bacterium. RNAcentral describes it as "partial 16S ribosomal RNA". It matches the Rfam family "Bacterial small subunit ribosomal RNA", at positions 28 to 507 of the family's 1533-position model. The record is from RNAcentral.